UUUUUUUUUUUUUUUUGUCGACGGAGUGGGUGUCCGGGUCAAGUCCGUAAAGGCGGCCCGAUUAAUCCCCACUCCGGCCCGGCCCAGCGCUCCAACCAGACCUAACACGUUAAAUGCACGGCGAACUGAUGUUGCUGCGGAGGUUCGACCCCAGGACCUAACGGUCCCGAGGAGGAGGCGCCAACCACCAGCCCAUUCACGUGGAGGCAUCUAUAUGUAAUUCGAGAGAGAGUAAAAAUGCAGUUAUGAGAAGAAGAAUAUCUAGAGCUGGGGCCGGGCAGGGCUGAAGAGAAAGUUCGCAAUAGUAGCUAAAAUUUUGGUAUGUUAUCUCACAUUGUUACAGAGUAUAAUUGAAUUGACACGGACAGGGACACGGGACUCAUUCUGAAUCAGAACAUUAGGAGAGUCAACCGGGGUAAAGCUGAGCACAGGGCUCGAGAAUGGCAGAGACACAAUUAUUGGGACUCGCACAUAUCCAUUCAUCAUCAGCCAGUCCAGCACCCCUCUAAUCCUUCUUUCUUUCUCUUCCUUUACGUACUUGAUUCAAACUAGCAAUAAAUUUGAUUUUACCUCUGAGUCUACUGCCACUACUUCGACUACUGCAUAUCUUAUAUCAUCAACCAUAACAACAACAGAGCAACUCCCGCGGGCAGCCUACUGCUCCUCUAUCAAGUUUCAUUUAUAUCCAUGAUGAUCAGCAGAUUUUCUGGAUGACCCUUACCAUAUCAUAUGACAUAGUAUGACUUGCUCUUUUUUUUUUUUUUCUUUCUCUAACAUGUGAUGUGCCCAAAUGGAUUUUCAAGCCCUUCUUCUAUUUGCUACUUUUCAAGAAAGAAGAAAAUACACUACUAGGAGUUUGUUUGGAUUGUCAAUUAUUAGAGAUAUUUUUACUAUAGCACUUUUUGUGAUGUGAUGUAUGUGAGAUAAAAAGGUAAUUGGGAAGAUAAAAAGGUGCGUUGGAAAUUGUAAUGAUGAUGUAAGCAAAUAUAUUUUGACAAAUAAACCGCAAUCCAAACAAACCAUGAUUAUGGUUAGGCUCUCGAAUGAUCACGAUUAAGGAAUGUUGUAGUAGUAGCAUCAAGUCUUGGAAAAGGGAUUCCCCAUUUUCUGGGAUUUAGCAAUUGGACUCAAAUUGCAAUCCUCAGAGGAAGGAGAUGGCUACGAUUUUCAGACAACAAUACUAGUACUAGUAAUAAUCAAAGUUCUUUUUUGGCACGGGCAGAUUUUAUGGGAUAUAUCAAUAAAUCAUCAUAUCCUAGCAGUCUGCCUCACUUCGAUUCGAGCCUGCAGGCCUUGUUUGGAUUGCUGUUUUUCGCCGAAAAAAUGUUUUAUUUUCCGUGAACACAUUUUUCUAUCACCUUUUUUCCUCACAUACAUCAAAUCGCUAUAGUAAUUUUUCUAUGAAAAAUCAUGAAACCCCGUUUGGAUUGCAUUUUUCAUGAUUUUUUAUGAAAAAAUUACUGUAGUGAUUUGAUGUAUGUGAGGAGAAAAAGUAAUAGAAAAAUGUGAUCACGGAAAACGACGCAAUUUUCCGGCAGAAAAUGACAGUCAACAAACAAUACUGAACUUUUUGGAAGGGGGGUAUAUUGAUCUACUGAAAUGAGAGCAUGAAUGAAUUAAUUACCCGUGGAAUAAACGCUUUCAGAAGCUUUCUUCCACCACAAAAAAGGACAAAAAGAAAGAAAGUUCGUUUAAAAAAAAAAAUGAAGGCAGCCACAAGAAUCGAUGACUACAUAAAUAUACAUAUAUAUAUAUAUAUAUAUAAUUCUGGGGAAAGAAGAAUCGAUGACUAUUGUCAAGUCGCGCGCUAUCUAUCAUGCAAAAGGUUUCCCUAAGAAUAAUUGGUCAGAAAUAUAAUAAUAAUAAUGUGGGUCGCAGGCAGAUAUUUGUAUCCAUGAGAGAGGGCAGAGGGUCAAAUAGUGAAAAGAAGAACCUCGGGCCCCUAAAAAUAUAAAUAUCCAAUUUGAAUCGCUAUUUACUACUGCUACUAAACAAACGCUCAUCAUUGAAUUAUGGCAACUAAUUAGUGCUUUUCACGUUUUGGUUAGCCUAGAUUAGUAUUGAAAAUUGAUCCGAUGCGGCCACUGAUUCUUGAUGAUUUCUUCUAAACUGAUUUCUGAUUUUCGUCAAAGACCUCGGGGGCAAGCUACGGCUGGAUUUGGGCCGUCGUCGGUCUCGUAUAUAUUAUUGAAAAAUUAAAUCUAAAUAUGGCCACUAAUUAGGGGAUGUCACGUGUUUGUUAAAGCUGACAAAAGAGAAAUAAUUUCUUCCAUUCUGAUAAUUAUGAGGAUGGCGCCCGUGACAGAUUACAUAUAUAUAUAUAUAUAUAUAUAUACGUAUAUAUAUAGAUUAUAGAGCCAGUCACAAGGCUAUACUAUUAGCACUAAGCCAAGUCGGAGUUCAAGUUCAAGGUUGGUCCUUGGCAACUUCUAAGUUGUCUUAUCGAACAGAUGUUAAUAAGUUAACUCAGCUUGAAAAAGUUAUUGACAACGUUAUCCCGACAAUUUUGACUAAUGAUGGGGAGCAGAAUGAAUGAAAUAACGAGAUAGAGAAAGUCUAGACAACAUAAUUAUCUCAAUAAUUAUUUCUUUAUGUAUGUGUGUUUUAUUAUUAUUAUUUUUUAUAAAACAAAACGAAUAGUAUGAGUAAAAAACUAGUUAGAAAUCAUCCAACACGGUUUAUUUAAUGCAUGAUACAUAAAAUAUGUCUGAUUUGAAAAAUUAUUGAAUUUAACAGAGUUACAAAAAAAAUAUAUAUAUAUAUAUAAAUAUAUAAUGUGAAUCACAAAUCAUCAGAUCUGACCAAUUGUAUAAUUUGGAUUUCCAAUUUUAUUUCACAAAAGUAAAUUGCUACUAUUUGAAAUUGUUUGGAUUCCAUUGUGUUAUGUUUAUAUACAUAUAUAUAUAUAUACACACACACACGUACAUAGUACAUACAUAUUCUUUCUUCUUCGUUAUUUAUUGUUUUUGAGUAGGCUCAAGAACAAGUAGCAAAUUUCUUUUGGUUUUCUAAGGAAUAACGCCAACGCUAACACAAAAUAGCAAGUAGCACACAUAGACACCUUUACCAUACGAAAGAAUUAUAACUUGACGUGAUGAUUUCAGUUCAUAAUAUACUCUUUGUUUCAGCAUUCUAAUGGGAUUUUGAUCUACGCUAUAAUGAUCAAAUUUGUAGAAGAAAUUUUGUGAUAUAACUCAAUGGAAAAUAAGAGAAAUUUUCUCAACCGGUCUUAAUGAUUCCAUCCAUGUUCAUUCUCUAUGAUUUGGUUAGAGACUCACAACCUGAGGAUAAUGCAUGGGCAGAUUGAUACGUCACGCACCAAUUUCACAUAAAAGGGUUGGAAAAAAAGAAGAAGAAGAAGAAGAAUAAGAGGGAAUGAGAGUAAAGCUAGGGCUGUCAACGGUUCGGGUCUAGACUAGGGUCCGGAUUGGAUCCGUCAAAUUUAUCCGAGUAUGGGUAGGGAUUUAAUUCCAUUACCCGGAUCCGGAUCCGGACCCGUUUUGUCAAACAAAAAACGGGUCGGAUAUGGAAUAUAGUAUUCCGACCCGUAUUUGACCCGGAUCCGGAUAUAGAUGGAUUAAUAAUUUAAAAUAUAUAUUUAUUAAUAUAAUUUGAUUAGGAUGAUGUAUUUGAGUAAUCAAUAUAAUUGGACCCGGAUCAUAAUCAAUAUAAUUGAUUAGGGUGAUGUAUUUGAGUAAGGUUAAUUUGAUUUUUUUUGUAUUAGUUAGAAAUUAGUUUUUAAAUAUAUGUUUUUUUCUCAUUUUUAUUAGGAAUUAUAAAUUUUGUUAGUUUUUUUUCGGGUAGACCCGAAUCCAGAACAUAGAGUAAAAGAUCCGUCGGGUAAACGGGUCGGAUCCAGAUCCGAUAUAGUGCGCCGGAUUCGGGUCUGAAAUAAUGAAUUCCGGCCCGUUGACAGGCCUAAGUAAAGCAAUUCUUGGACUCGUGAAAUGAUGCUGAUCUUCCGAUGUCUUUUGUUGGACGAAGAGGCUUAGGCAGCAGAAUAAAGAAUUUAACAAUAUAAUAUGUCGACAUUGUUUCCAGCAAUAUGAAAAAUCCUACUUUACAGUUUACACCAUUGCUUCAUACUAGUAUUAAAUUAAAAAGAAGUGCUACCACCACAUGGGCAUUCUACAAAACCAUAUCCAUAUGCAUCGCAGAAGAUUGCUACUCUUUCCAUUAAUACUACUUGAUUACCUUAGAUUUGAUUUCUUCUGCUUGGAUUAACUGUUUUUUAGGGUGUUUUUGAAAUAUUUUACUGUAGCAAUAUAGAUGAAAACUUUUAUUGUAGAUGAGAUUGUUUUUAAGGUUUUUUUAAAAUAUAUUUUUGAGGUUAUUUUUGAUAUUAUUUUUAUUUGUAUAUUUCUGUAAUAUUGUACAUGAAAAGGCUCUGUUUGGAUGGAAGUAUUUUUCAAAAAUUAGUUUUUCAAAUACAAUAAAAUUUUUUAAAAAGUACUCUAAAAGGUAAUCUAAAAAUUAGUUUAAAUUUUUUUAAAAUUUAAAAGAUAUCUCAAAAUAUAUUCUAGAAACUUUUAUACUCUUAAAUAUCCCAAAAUAAUUUCUAAAAAUAUCCCAAAAUAUACUCUUAAAUAUACUUUUCUAUAGCAAAAUUUUUAAAAACAUUUCAAAAAACAGCUAAUUCAAACGAAAAAUUUGCUUUUUUAAAAAAUAAACAAUCCAAACGGAGCACUGUAAUUUUAAUUUCUUUGUGCCUACCCUAUAUAUUGGUGUGGAGUGCAUACUGCAUAGGAGAGAGUACGUGGAAACUUGCGUUUGCGUACAUAAAGCGAAGCAAAUUUCAUGGAGACGGAUCUUUCAAUUCUCUGUAUGGCCUUUACAGAGAUCCACUGUUGUUAUACCCAUAAAAGAACAUUAUUAAUUGAUCCAUGCAUUAUUGUUGCUGGUGCAUACAAACUCCCAAGUCAAGGACCCCCCCUUCUUUCUCCCUCGAUCUUCUCUUGUUCUUCUUGUAUGUUACAUCACUUCUGUUACUGUCAAUGGGAGUUGACCUCGAAAUAGAGCACUGCCUUUACAUUUCUUCAUUGAUCCCAUCAAUAAUAUUCCUAAAACCAAACUCGAUGUAGAAUGGAGUCAAUCUUAAAAUGAUUACUCAAAGAGUUAAGAGAGGAAUACGAGGCGUUUAUUCUCUAAUUCUAGAAAUAAUUCUGCAAAAUACUUACUAGUAUGAGGCUAAGGCCAACCAUAUGCUGCUUACCAUUGCAGUUUUCUGAAUUCGAGAAUUCUUCCUCUAUCAUCCUAAUGUUCGGCCAUGAAUAUAUCUCUCUCAUGCUAUUACUCUGUAAUAAUAAUUGAAAGAAAAACUUCUUGAGAUGUUUUCAUUCAUGCAAGCCAAAUUUUAGUGUGUAUAUAUAUAUAUUCAUUGAUCUGAAAUUUCUCAUCAACUUGAAAAUCUUACCUGCAAGAUCAAUUCUUAUCAACUCUUUAGCUUUGGCAUCUUGUUCACCUAUCAUGUGUAUGUAAAUGGUUAAAAAUUCCAACUAAAAGAAAAGCAAAUAUCAACUUGAAAAUCUUACCACACACUCCAUUGCCCUAGUGUCUAGUUGACGACCCCCUAAUCAUCCUCCAUUGAUUGGUCUGUGAGGGAAGAAUUAGUAAAGUUACCCGUAGCAUACCGUUUCCUCAUUUAGGAGAUGGCUUUGGCUCCGUUGGGAAGUUAAUAGUAAAAUCCAUCUUAAUUAUUAUGGUAAGGGGGUCAGAGGCAACAAAAAAAGUAGAGCGUGUUUUCCGGUGCAAGGACGAAUAAGCAAAAGCUGAUGCUUCGCCACGUGGGAAAGCAUUGACCGUCCGAUCGUCAUGGAUUCAUCCUUCAUUGAUAGAGAUUUUUGUUGCAAACUGCAAGAGAACUGUAGAAGCAAGUGGUAAGAUUUUGUUGUGCCUGCAGGCUCAAAGAGCCAGUUCAUCCAGUGUUGUUAAGUGUGAUACCUGUACAUGUAAGUGCGUGAGUGCGUGAGAGAGAAGGAGAUAGAGAGGAAAUAUUGGUACUACUAUUACUGUUGGUUGUCUUAAAUUGAGGUUGCAGAGAGGGGUCUCAGAGGCCAUGGCGGCGUUUGCAGGAGCUGUGACUUUAAUGCUUCAAAGAAAGACAAGGAAUUCAAGUUAGCAGCAGCAAGUCCCCAACUCCAAGACUCAGAGAAGAAAACCGUCCUGCUUCCUUCCCUCCUUUCUCUCUCUCUUUCUCUUUCUUUCUUCUUUCUUUCUUUCUUCUCUCACCCCCGCCCUUAAAACAUUUUCCCUAAGCCUGUCCUGAAAACUGAAAAGCUGCAUUAAAAACAAAAGACACCCGCAAAACACACACACCCUUGCAACUUUACUACUACUACUACUACUGCUACUGCUACCACUUCCCACUUAUUCAAACCAACCUACUAGUCCGAACCCCAAAGAAUAAAAAGAAAGGGAAGAAAAGAACUUGAUGUUUCACAGCAUACCAAAUUCUUGUCUAGGGCGUAGAGGUUGAGUUGGGCUAUGGAUUUUUUUGGAGAAUUGAGGAGCAGGAGGGUAGAGUUAGCUGGUGGUGUCUUUCUCACUAGGGGUAGAAAAUGUCUGGGUUUUUUUCACUAGGUGGUGGGAAAGAGCAAGAGCAACAAGAGCAGCAAGAUACUACCAAUAAUAGCAGCUUCUAUCUGUUCAAGAACGAAGAGAUCUAUAACAAGGGUUUUGAGCUAUGGCAGCAAUACUACCAGUUGCAUCAACAAAGAAUACAUCAUCAUCAUCAUCAUCAAGUAGUUGGGCAGGAUGUGGAUUUCUCAGUGGGUCCCAGUAGGAGGAUCAUCAGUAGCGGUAGUGGUGGUAGUGGUAGUAUUGGUGAUGAUUCUUCCUAUAGAUCAGCAGGAUUUAGGGUGAUGAGGCACGGAGGAGGAGGAGGAACUGGUAGUGGCAGUAGUAGUGGUGGUGGUGGUGGUGCUACUAUGAAUUGCCAAGACUGUGGGAAUCAAGCUAAGAAAGACUGUCCACAUAUGAGGUGCAGAACUUGUUGUAAGAGCCGAGGGUUUCAGUGCCAAACUCACGUUAAGAGUACUUGGGUUCCUGCUGCCAAAAGGCGUGAAAGACAACAAGUCUCUGCUCUGCAAACUCAACAACAGCAGCAACAACAAAAUCAACAACAAUUGAGCCUGAUCAGAGGUGAUAACCCCAAAAGACUCAGAGAAAAUCCAGGCGGAGGAGGAGGGGGCUCUUCCUCUCUUGCUUGCACUCGUUUGCCUACUUCCACUUCAGGUAACGUUUGUUUUCUUCAAAAACAUUCCAGCAAAAUAUCAACCAAAGCUCCACGGAGUGGAUUUGAUGGGCGUUUCAUUCAUCUAGAUACAACUAUUUUUCUUAUCUUAAAGGCACACUAGUAGUAGUAGGUAUUAGGUAUGUAGGAAUUAGGAGGAAGAAACAACAAAGCACUUGCACACUCUCAAUCAGAGACUGUAAAUGCUAGCUCUAUAGAGAGAUAUCUCUACAGGAAAGAGAGAAAAUACUCUCUAUACCAACAAAAUUCUCAGCAACACUUGGUACAUAUAUUUAUUAAUAAUAAGAAGUCAUACUCACCACAACCACCACAGCCAGCAAAGAGAUCAUAUCUUCAUAUCCUUUGCGUGCGAUCAAUGAAGUCCACCUUCCAUGGUCAGUCACUCACCCUUUUGUCUUUAUUUUUCUUUCCAUGUCUUCUCUCCUGCCUUUCUUUUCAUUCUCCUCCUUUUACUACUGUUACCGAGUAAACCUGACCAAAAAGUCUUGUUCUUGCUCUAGUAAAAAUGCUUUCUUUGCACUUCCAAAAUUUGCAGUUCCUUUUUCUUUAAAGGCCAUUUUUUUGUGGGUUCUGAUUUUUAUUGGCUUGUUUUUUUGACUAGGGUUAGACGUGGGUAACUUUCCGGCUGAAGUGAAUUAUCCCGCUUCAUUUAGGUGCGUAAGAGUGAGUGCAAUGGAUGAUGCAGAAGAACAGUACGCGUAUCAGACAGCUGUUAACAUAGGAGGUCACGUUUUCAAGGGAAUUCUCUACGAUCAAGGCCUUGAAAGCCGCUACGCUACUAGUGGAAGAGCUGGUGCUGGCGAAGCUUCCUCAGGCGGCGGUGGAGGUCAUGGUCAUCAUCAUGAUCAUGAUCCGCAACCACCACUCAAUCUUAUCGGGACAGCCGCCGCGGCCACCGCCAACGCUGCAGUCACCUCUACCAACCCUGCUCUCACUAUGCUUGACCCUUCCAUUUAUCCAACUCCACUAAGUGCUUUCAUGGCCGGUACGCAAUUCUUUCCACCACCAAGGUCUUAAAACGAAAAAAAAAGAAAACAAAGUGCUAACUGGUAGUUGAGGCUAAAGAGCUUUCCCUUCUUGACUGCAUUCAGUAUACAUUGAUCUGAUGUUGUUUUUCAUUAAGUGUAUUGACCAUUGACAUCCCCCAUCGAAGUAGUUGGGACAAAAAAAGGAAGAACAGAUGAGUAACAAAAAUGUACCAUGACAUUUCGGUUAUGUUGGUUUCCAUUUCGAAUUUCUUUCCCAUUUUGAUCGUUUUCAUUCUAUUAAUAUUACUAGUAUUGUUAUUGUUCAUCUUCUUGUUGGUUUGAUACUUUUUUUUAAUAAUAAUUAUUUUUUUGGGAUUGUUUUUUCCCAUUUCGAAAGGUUGGUAUAAUAUGCAACAUGUGGAUGUGUGCACAGUAGGCAUAUUCUGUGGGUUUUUUUCCUUCUUUAUGAGUUUACCUGUUUCGGGUGUGAUUUUUCGUUGGCUUUUUUCGUUUGUAUUGAACUUGCAUCUGCUUUUUUCCCUUUUAUCUGAUUCCUUGCCGGAAAAAUUGAGACUAAAUAGCUGGUUUCAUGUUCGUUUUGGACCAAGAUUUUUUAUAUCCUAGUUCGCUACAUGCCAUCCAUGUUUCAUGCAACAAAAUAAUAUACAUUAUAAUAUGCGCACCGUUGAAAAUCAGAAGAGAAAACGGGGUACUAGAAGCGGUCCAGCUCUGCAAGUCUCCCAUGCAGUGGCAAAUGGCAGUUUGUCAUCACAGUCCCAAAAGUAUACGAGUCAAGAAAUCUCGCUCCUCUCUCACCUUGUUUUUGUUUGAUAUACGUGUAGGAUGAUUUAAUGAAAAGUUUGCUAAACACAAAUCUUCUCCAGUAAUAGAAACUUGAGGGAGACUAGGUGGAGCAACGUGCAUGGAUGUGACCUGUAGAAAAAUGGGACCUGUUGAAUCCUAAAUGCUAAUCUUUAAUGUUGGCAAAUGCACAGAGAUAUAAUGCUUAUGAUGUUAGACAUAUACGCGAGUGUGUGUGUGUGUGUAAGUAGAGCUUAAUAAGUUUGGUUCCUCAAAAUUAUAAAUCUUGAUGUAGGUUAAAGUUGUACACAUCAUACGAGCAGAUUAAAGUUGCCUUCCAUAGUUUGCUAGAUUUGGUGUUGACGUAUACAAACCUAAAUUGAAUAAGCUUUCCUAGAUUCGAAACUUCUGCCCCAUACCAAGUACUCUUUUAUCUUGUAUCAGAUUAGGACAAUACACUCUUUUAACGGAUUGGCACAGCACUUCCAGUUCCUUUUUGCAUGCAUCCUAUUGGAUCUUUCUGCUAGUCUUUAAUGGGAAAAUUGGAGGGGGGUCUGGAAGCAUUUUCCACUUGCGAUCUUGAACAAAUAGCAAAGAAUAUCUUGGAGUAGCCAUAAAAUGUGUAGUAAGUGGGCACAUAUGCUUGCUUUGAGUUCUUGCAAAAUAGUAUUGUGUUCUAUGGGCAUCAAGAAGAGAAGUGCUCUCAGUUGAUGUACAUGAAAAGACUAGAUGGGAUCUGCCUUCAACUUUUGAAAUCUAUACUAUAAAAGGAAAGCAUAGAAACCUGAGGGAUGAAUGACUGUUGCCCUUUAGUUUCAUGAGAUAUUUGGAGGAAACAUUUUUUUUUUUAUAUGUCCAAGUAACGUACACAUUAAAAAAGUACAUGAUCACUUGGAUCAGUGCAUAUUUGAGUGCCAUUGCGAAAGAGUAAAGUUGGAAUAAAAGAUUACGUUAGAACUUCUACAUGAUGUAAUAAUCCCGGCCUUGAGUUCAUGGGGAGAUCUGUUCACUUUGACCUUUAUGUUGUAUAUGAUGAUUGUAUUAGAAGCUUUCUUUGGUUCUGCAUUCCAAAACUUGCAUACCUCAAGGUCAUACGGGGAUUGUGUGUUGGAUGAACAAGCUGUCUGCGAAUAGCAGAAUGUGGUUUCAUGCUCUCCACCUCAAGUAGAAGCUUGGUGAUUUCUUCCAGCUAUCCAUAACGGACCCCGCUAAAAAUAAGAAAACAGAUAAACGAUGAUCAUCUAAGAAUUUCCAGUGUUCCACUAAAUGUGUAGAUGUUGAAAUUGAGAAACUAGGAGUGAGAAGUGCAUUAAAAAUCUGAAUGAAGGCCAAGCAUUUGUUGAUUAAUAACACCCCUUUGAAUUGUCAUUUUAAUCGUUGAGCAAGAUCGGACUAGUAACUAACAUGUGCUAUCAACCUCUUGGUACCGUGUCUUCAUGUUUAUAUACGUUGCAUGCUUGUAAAUUCGUUGUGCUGGAACGACGUUGUGAGAUUAUUAAGUACAUACAUUAAAGCUGCAAUUGCUUGACACUGGCCUGCGAAUCAGGUUUGAUGCCACAAUACCUCUGGAUGUUUUUGUGCUCCCUUUUUUAUGAUAAUUCAGUUUUCAACACAUCUGUUUUAACAACUUUUUUUUUUUUUGUUCUUUGUUUUAAUUUUAUUUUAACCUCCCGCCCCUUCUCAUACUCUUCCAACUCUCAAGUGCCAGUCCUAGGAUUCGGACUCUAAACUUGAUAGUGGAGAGAAAUAUGUUGCUCAACUUGCAUACUCUCCAGAUGGAACAUAUGGGGAAUUAAACAUUAUUGCUGUUUAUUUAGUUUUCCAAUAUCACUAACCUUUCUGCAUAUCCUGCUUUUAAGCCAAGAACAAUUUGUUUUGCUUUUCUCUGUCAAAUCAAGGGUACGUUAAAAAAAAAAAAGAAAAAGAAAAAACUACUAGCGAUUUCAAGAAAUCGACCCGGACUGAUGGAAAAAGAGAAGCGAUAUGUUACUUGAAACAAAACAAAACUUUUUGUUCAUUGCCUUCGCACUUUUUCUUUUUGUUUUCUUUUUAAUUUUUGAAAAUUUGAACCGUCCUUUGUUGGAAUCUUUCGCAGUUAGAACAAAUUGUCAUUAUUAUUUUCAAGUGGUGUAAUUGAUCUAUAGACCAAUCAAAAGCUUUUUGGCCCCCUUUACAAUGCUCUCUUACAAAUGAAUGCUACAAAUUUUGACCCACAAACGAGAAAAAUAAAAAAAAUGGGUGCGGACUGGAUAAAAUGUCAUCCAAGGGUCGAGCGCAUACUACCGCAUGCCUUUUCGUUUGUGGCGGCUAUCUGACUGAAGAAUAUACAACAAAACUUGUAUGUGAAUUUUAGAGAGAUGUAAAUAUCCUCUCUCUUUUUAUAUUCCCCUUUUCUUUUUGUGGAUUGUCUAAUAGAGUAUUAAUGCUUUAGAUUAACAAUUCACAAGAGGUCAUUGUAGUUCUAUUUCUACGCUAAGAAUAAAAUCCUCAAUUUGAUGCUCGUAAUUAAUAGGGUAGUCACAAAUUCAUUCGUGCAGCCUUUCCUCUUGGAAUUGUUUAUAGUUCCGUUUCUGCAUGCUUCAUUAGCUUAGUUAGAAAAUAAAUUUAUUCAACUUCGUAAAUAUUCCAUACCAAGUAGUUUAAAUUUUUUUUUUUUAAUCUCAAAAUGAUUGAUCUAUAGGUUGGGAAUGAGAACAAAACAGGUUAGUCUUCCGGACGUCCUUCAAUUUUCCUACCACACAACAUGUGUGAGUUAGUAUUCCUUAGGUAUUAGGAGCGGAACUCGUAGUCAGACGUUACCAAUCAUUGUUGAAUGAUUUCUUGAGUUUUGCAUCGUCAGACUUGGAAUUCACAAUCACUAAUGAGAAAAAAGAACUUAAAAAAAGAAAAGAAAAUGCAUAUACCAUUCGAGGGCAUAGGGUAAUAAUUUAAUAGCUGGCCACAGGUUAGGAAAUUUUUCAUUCCAUUCUUUGGUUUGAAAUUUGAGGCAAGCAAAUCGAUCAAAACAUUAGCAGACAAACUUGAGAUUUUUCGUCUUGUGGUCAUGUAUAUAGCUGUUGAACUCCAUAAUGAAAUAGGUAAGACAUGCAUUGCUUAAUUAUGACCUCACCUCAUUGUGAUGGAUGACAAUAAUCAGUAAAGAGGACAAACAGAAAAAAGAGUUGCAACAUGGGAAGCUGAUCCCAGUUGUUUUAUAUCAGUAUAGAAAGGCCGGACUCCUCCAGUGCAUUAGGCUUUAUAGGGUAUGGAAAUUUUAGGAUGGUAGGCUGAGGACAGCCGCGUGCUCGAUUCUGCUGCUGCUGCUCUUCUUCGCUUUCUUCUCUAAUUGACCUGGGAGAAGUGGUCCAAUUUUCAACUUUGUUGCAAAUGUUGCUACUAUAUCAUGCUCUCGAUUCCAUCUUUCCCUAUGGGUUGGGGUGCCGAUGGCUUAAUCUAUCCUCCUUUUUCCAUUCCAUAAAUGUGUCAAAUAAUAAUGGAGUGGCAGCUAUAUAUGGCGGGCUGAUAAUAUAGGAGAAUGCGAGCCCCUUUGCAUGGAGGGCUGUCCUUCCUCUCUGGAUUUCCUUGACUAUGUCAUCACUCGUACUCAAGGUGUGGACCAUUUUCGCAUGCUAUUUAACCAUAUAUGGUGCAUUAUGUAAAAAGUGACAAUCAAAGUCCGUAAACUUUAGGGCACUUAUUUCUGAUUUAAACCAUCAACGUAUCUACCAAACAAUCCACAGACGACGCAGAUUCAGCACUGCAACGUUGAAGAAAAAUUUCGAAGAAACAAGAAACAUAUAUAGGGUCAAUAAUUACUUACUUUUAGAAUAAGAACAUAAACUUUUUCCAUAAAUUAUUCGUAUAGCAAAAGAAUAAAAUAAAAUUGCCUUGCAGCCAAAGAGACAACAACGAAUCUACAAAACAAACACAAGCAUAACUUCAAUAUUUGACAAGUUAAAGAACCAUUCUAUAACGUUUUGUUUGUUUAUGAAAUUUGUUCAAAAAAAUUAAUGCUUAACGAAUUAUAAAUUUAUGCAUCACAAAAAAAAAAAAAAGAUUUAGCUGUAGAUAGGGACGUUUUUUAGUUGUGUUUUGGUGGGUGGGGGGGGUGGGAAGAAAGCAAAAUGUCAAAAAUUAACAUCUUAAUAUUUUUCUUUUCUUUUUUUUUGUCCAAUUAGGGGAGACUUUUUAGGAGCUGUUUCGUUUAAAUUUUCAGCAACACUGUCAUGCACCAUGAUAAAUUGGGGAAUAGCUAUGGGUUUGAUAAAAACCCGAAAAGUGUUAGAUGACUUUACACCAAUGGGUUUAAGUAAUAAAAAAAUAUAAUAGAUAACUAAAACUCUACUCUUUAGUAGUAAGUAGGGCUGCAAACGAACCGAACCGGUCACGAGCGGCUCGAGUUUGAUAUUGAUUGAGCUCGAGUCGAGUUCGAACUAGCCAAAUCGAACUCGAGUUCAAACUCGAUCUCAAAAUAUUACGCUUUAUUCGCGAGGUCAAAUAUGUAUAUAUAUUUUUUAUUUUUUAUUUUCAUAGUAAAAUUACUUAUAUAUCCCUAAUUUUUAAUUGUUUAUUAAGAAAAAAAUUAUUUUAUUCAUUUUUAAAAAAAUAAUUAUUUUUUAUUUUUUUGAGCUCGAACUCUACUUAAAUUUGAAUUGAGCUCCAGGUUGAGCUUUAAAUUAGCAGCUCGUCGAGUUCAAGUUCGAGUUCGAGUUCGAGUUUGAUAAAAUUAAGUCAAGGCUCAACUCAAUUAGGUCAAAUCUUGACUCGAUUCAACUCGUUUGCAACUCUAGUAAUAAGUCAUGAACCUAUUAAGUAAUUUUGAUUGACCUUAAACGUAUUGCUUAUUUGUAUACGGGUGUGAUUGAACCUUAAACAUUGUAUACGGGUGUGAUUGAAAUUGAAACAUAUUUCUUAUAUCAAAACUAGCUUACUUAAUGAACACCUCAUUAAGGCUUCUAAGGGAAAACAAGGAAAGGGGAUUUUUUAUUUCCUUUUAAGUGCAAGUAAGAGAUCUCAAAUCAGAAACCUCAUAAGGAGAAGGAAAGGCUUUAUAUACAAUUGAACCUACCAACUGAAGUUAUUGUUACCCUAACGUUAGCUAGGUGUUUGAGAUAAAAGAAAUUCUUCUGUUUCAAAAAGGCCAAAGAAAAAACGGUUCAAACAGAAUUCAUGGACUUUGGACUUUGUAUACAUACAAGACAAGUCCAUACCAUUCAUGGGCCAAAUAAAAUGCCCAUAUCCGAAUCCCAAAUUUCAAAUAUCCUUUUGCGGGCUUUUGGUCCCCACCCAAAAGAGAGUAGCCAACAAAGGAAGUUUCCAACGGCAUUUGACAACGACGUGGUUGAACGUUCGGUAGAAUAUCACCAACGCGGCAACCAGAAAAAAUAUAAAAAAAACUCAGAGGAAGCAAAACAUUGCGACAUGCUGGCACAAGGACAGAGCACUUUUUUAAAUUCCGGCCAAUCAGAACGAAAGAAGAAAAAAGAAAAAGAAAGUGCGGUAUUUUUAGAACGUGAGAAGUCAUAGGGCGCGUAAAUUCCCCUCCGAUUACUUCCUCUAAUCGGAGGGAUCAUAAAUAAAAGCGCGUUCUGCAUUUUAUUCGUUUGUUUUUCUAGCAACAUUUCCUGAUUGGGAAAAUAAUAUAAAUUUAAAAGGAAAAGGAUUAAUCGAAGAAGGAAUGAGUUCUCCGACGAUGGAUCUGCUGCGGUCGGAGCCGAUGCAAUUGGCGCAGUUGAUCAUACCUAUGGAGUCGGCUCAUCGCACAAUAUCGUAUCUCGGUGAUCUCGGCCUUUUCCAAUUCAAAGACGUAAGCUGCACGCUUCACAUUUUUAGUUUUAUCUUCAUGAAAUUUUGUACUAUUUUGUUUUCCUGUUUUUCUUCUAGUUUAAUUUUCCGUUCCUGAAUAUUUUUGUUUUAUCAUAAGCUUGAUAAUUUUCUAGCUGCAUUUUGCUCUUCUCAUGACUAUUUUUUUCGUAUGUAUCUCUGUUUUGGUAAUGUUUGCAAUUUGAUAGUAAUUAGAAAGAGGAAUACUAACUACUGGUUAAUCCUAUGCAAAUGCAAUAGAAUCAGUAGCUUGGAUUGUAAUCAAGGGAUCAGAUAAUCUAGUAUUGGAUUUUAAUUGUGUCAUCAGAUUAUCUACUAGUUCAUGUAACUACAUUGCUAGGUUGAUGCUCAAUUUUUUUGUUGGCGUAUGUGGAUUAUUGCUGGUAAAAGUAAGCAAAAUAAUCAAAAUGCAAUGUGGAAAUUAAUGUAGAGUUCAGAAUGAUUAACAAGUCCUUUGCAUGUACCUUUUUCUUUUCAAUAUUACCCUUGUUGUCAAUCUAUCUUUGUAAACAUUGAAGUCAUCUUGUUCGGUAUCAGGAUGUGGAUAUCCUAAGAUUUAAUCGUCUUGUUUCUUUUGUAUCUAUGUCAAGAUUCAAAACCUAAAAUGUUCUUGAAUUGCUAACUUUUCCUUGUUUUAUACAAAAUAUGACCUUCUUUUUGUCUGCUUCACCAGCUCAAUACUGAAAAGAGCCCUUUCCAGAGAACAUACGCUGCUCAGGUUUGUUUUAGUUCUAUUAAUGACCUCUCACUAAAAUUUGUUUACUGAAUCUUUGCCUAUUUCAGCAUAUUUGUGUCUGUAGUGGAUCAACUAAAAUGAACUUGUAAUGAGUUUAUUUUGUCUUCAGUUUAAUCCAUGUACAUUCUGUUGGAGUGCCUUUAAUUCAUUUUCGUUAUUAUCUUUUAUAUGGAACUUUCAAGUGAUCUAGUUGGAAGUUAUAAUUAGGUUUACAUUAUCCCUUUUUCCAUAGACUAGAGAAUGGGAGAUGAUUAUGUUGUCAAACUACUAAUAAUAGGUUCCGGAGAAGAACAAUGUCUAUCUUAGUCCUAUCCUUUGAUGAGACUAAUGGCUUCGUGAGGUUUCUCUACCGUAUCUGACAUCCUUGCAUACUUUCUAGCAGCACUAACAGUGAAAGUUGCUUUCUACAGCUUUUGAGAUUGUCAACAUGCUGUUAAUAUUGAGGAAUUUACUUGAUUGCGUAGGUUUGUCGAUAAUGAAAACUUUUUUGCAGAUGAUAUUUUUUAGCUGCUAAGUCCACCUCCAGCUCAUGCAUGAUGUACCUUCUACUCCGUGGGAUAUUUAGCUAGUUAUUGAAAUCAACUCAAGAUAAAAUCUUUGUCUACUUUAAGUUGAACUUGUUUUAUGUUGCAUAGACUCUACACAUCUAUAGAGUUUCACUUUUCUUUUAAUAUGAUCGGCAUAGUUGGUGAAACUCGUCAGUAUAGUCUUAAGCUAAUAGAGUGACAUUUUUGGGUUUAAUAUCUGCCAGAACAAAGAUACCUCUUUCAUCCCCAUCUUACUUUCUGAGAAGUUUCACACGUCAACUUAAGGGUUUAAAAUUUGGUGGAUGAAGUGCAACGAAAUCUAACUAUGUUGGGUUAAUCGUAGCAAGAGAUUGAGUGAAGUCUUAUAGGCUUUAAGACCACCCCCAUUAAAAUGCAAGAGUGACUAUGAGCGUGGCUUAAGAAACUGGAGAAAAGAGAUACACAAGUCAGUUUUUUGUUUUUGAUAAUCCCUGACUCUCUGGCCAUGUUGAACUGCUUAGAUUAGGACAAAUAACCUUCCAUUCUGCAGCCAUGCCCAACACUAAGACUUGGUGUUUUCCACAUCUUGACGUCCUUUCUUUUUCAAUUUUGUAUGAGCUAGUGCCUUCUGGAUCUUCUUUCUUUGCUCAGUACACUCUAAGGCAUCCAACUUCAGUAAAAUUGUUGUAUGGAGAGAUCGAAAGGAAUGACAUUCUGUUGCUGAAUAAUCUUUUUGUUUUUCCUUUACUUAAUAGAUACUUCUCUGUAAUUUAUCAGUAUUACCUACGAAAUUAUCAGAUAUAUCUCAUAUAACUCCAUAAGUGGAGGAAGAGUAGUUUCUUUAUGUAUAGAUGUUGAAGUAUGCAGUUUUCAUUGGGAAGUUAAAGUCUAUGAUCUUCCUCUGUGAUCACCUUCAUUAAUUAACUUUUGUUUGUAGAAAUACAACUGAGUUUUGCAUAAUCUUUAUUUUCAUACUAACUAAUUACGUGAUGCAUGGUAUGUAGAUCAAAAGAUGUGGAGAGAUGGCACGUAAGCUUCGUUUUCUCAAAGAUCAAAUGACAAAGGCAGGCUUUUCACCUUCAUCGAGGUGUAGCUUUGACACUCGUGUUACUUUGGAUGAGCUAGAGGUUAGUUAAGUUUUGACUCCCUGUGCUCACUGUAUGUGGUGGUCAUUGAUGUGAUUAGUUAUUCCAGCAUUUGCAACAGUAUCAUCAACAUCAAUGACACCAGUUACAACAGCUGCAACAAUAUAAUCAUGAUCACUAUUUUUCAGUUUUUGGACAAAUUAUUCACCAGUGUAAUUGGAAUGGUAGGUAAAACUUGGAGAACUUGAAGAAGAGCUUAUAGAAGUGAAUGCCAACAGUGACAAGCUACAACGGUCACACAAUGAGCUUUUGGAGUAUAAACUUGUUCUGCAGAAGGUAAGGCCACGUUGCAGGCCUUUUUAGUUACAAUUCAAGCAGGAAACUAUAUAUUUUCAGUUGUUUCUUAUUUUUGCACUUUCUUUCCCAAACCUGUGAUCUUCAUUACUUUUCAAUCUUGGUCAAUUCAGGCUGGUGAAUUUUUCCAUUCAGCACAAAGCAUUGCUGCAGCCCAGAAUCAUGAAUUUGAAGCAAAUGUUAUGGGAGAAGUAUCUAUUGACAGUCCUCUAUUACUCGAGCAAGUAAUUUUGUCUGAUUUGACCUUAUAUAGUUUUCUCAAGCUAAGACAUUCAGUUAUUUGUCAAAAUUUUCUUUCUAGGAAGUAUAUUUUGAUUGUCAAGUUGAAUAUUGACUAGGAAAUGUCUGUGGAUCCAUCAAAACAAGUAAAGCUGGGUUUUGUUAGUGGCCUUGUAGCAAGGGAGAAGUCAAUGGCUUUUGAACGAAUUUUAUUUCGUGCAACUCGUGGAAAUGUCUUUCUAAAGCAAGUGGCUGUGGAAGAUCCUGUUAUUGAUCCUCUGUCAGGAGAUAAGGUUGAUACUCGAUAUUAGAGCUGUUUGCCAUGUUCUUAUCUUUUGGAUUUGAUUGUGGAUGAUGUCCCAUAUCUCUAUGUGCAUUUUUGUUUCCUGUGAUAUAGAGGUUCUCUGUGCUUUUGAUCUGCAGUGGUGUAUAAUGAUAGGUUUAAAGGUAUGUUUGAUGGACUACUGCAAUAAUUAAAUUUUUUUUUCUUAUUGUUUUCUACCUUUUAGUCUGCAAACUAUUUUUCCUACAGUAAAGGGGCGGAUGAAAACUAAUGAAUGAAAAUCACAUGAAAAAAAUAAACAUAGUUCGAAACUAUCCGAUGCCCUGCAAUAUCUUGUUUCCAUAACCUGCAAUUUUUUCCCUUUUGUUGCAUUCCUUUUGUUAUCUUAUUUAAGUAUAGUCCUUUUAUGUAUUUCAUUUGCAUAUAUGUAACCACCGGAUGCUAAUUUCAGAUUGAGAAGAAUGUCUUUGUUAUCUUUUACUCUGGGGAAAGGGCAAGGAUGAAAGUAACAAAGAUUUGUGACACGUUUGGAGCAAAUCGCUACCCAUUUACAGAUGAUAUAUCCAAACAAUACCAGACAAUAUCUGAGGUAUGGUUUUCUAUUGAAGAGGAUUUAGGUUGAUCAUACCAUCUCCAGUUUUUUUGGGAUGUAAUGUGAGCUUUUCAUUGGUCUUUAUGUUAAGAACAUGUCUGAGAUUAAUUAAAUUGCGAUAUUUAGGUAUCUGGAAAGCUUUCAGAGUUGAAGACCACUAUAGAUGUUGGACAACUUCAGCGAAGCAAUCUUUUACGGACUAUUAGCUUUGAAUUUGAGCAAUGGAACCUUUUGGUUAGUUUCCUUUGAAUAAAUAGUUGGUUUGAUGUUUGCUCUCCUUGCAUAGAGGGCUUGUAUUUCCUCAGUUUGUCUGGCAAUCCUCUUAAAUCACUGAAAUUGCAAUGCCUCUAAAGGUGAAGAAGGAGAAGUCAAUAUAUCACAUUUUAAAUAUGCUGAGUUUUGAUGUGACCAAAAAGUGCCUUGUGGGAGAAGGCUGGUGUCCCAUCUCCGCAACAGAUCAAGUAAAGUUAUCAUAGUACUUUCAAUGGUGCACUUUCUUUGUUACCUUUGCAAGUUUUCUGAAACCAAAGUUUUAGCUGUAACUUAUCAAAUGAUAUUUGACUUGGCAGAUAAAAAACACACUGCAGCAGGCAUCUUUGGAUAGCAACUCCCUAGUUGGAGCUAUAUUUCAGGUCCUGCAAACCGAGGAAUCACCACCUACACAUUUCCGCACAAACAAAUUUACUUCUGCUUUCCAGGAAAUUGUUGAUGCAUAUGGGUAAGUAAUAAUAGGAAUUGAUCUGACAUUGAGAUAUGUGAAAAUGAAAACUAUGUUAAAGGUGAUAUGCUUGUUGCUUUAACAAUUUCAAUUGUGUGUUGUACUUUUCUUGGAGUCUGUCAUUUGGAUUCAGGUUUUGCAAAUAUUCCUUGAAUCUCCUUUCUUUCAACUGUUCUAGAAUGUACUUGAUUCUCUAAUGUGAACCUGCUGAAAUGACUUUGAUAUUUUUGUUUGGGUACUUAUGUGUGAGGCCAAGGAGUAUUAAUUCUAGGUUUGCAAAUAUUCCUUGGACAUUUUUGCUUCGACUGUUCUAGAAUUUAUGUAAUUCUCUAACAUUUUCCUCGUGAACUUAACUUUCUUAUUUUUAUUAGGGUAUUUAUAAAUGAGAUGAGAAUUUGUUUGGGGGGGGGGGGUUUCUGUUGCUUUUAAUGUUAUCAUAUAUUGUUUGAAAUUUACUUGGCCAAUGCCUCUGGUAAUUUUAAAGUUCCCUAGCGAUGAUUUUCUAGAAACUUUUUACAGGGUGGCAAAAUAUCAGGAAGCAAAUCCUGGUGUUUUUACUAUCGUAACAUUUCCCUUUUUAUUUGCCGUUAUGUUCGGAGACUGGGGGCAUGGCUUAUGCUUGUUUCUCGCUACAUUGUAUUUUAUACUCAGGGAGAAGAAAUUGUCCCACCAGGUAAUUUUACAUUGUUUCUGGUUCUUAUUUUUCAAGAGUUCAAUUGUCUAAAUGUGCAUCUUGGAUCUCUCAACUAUUAUGGCUAUCUAAUGUAUCGCAACCUUCAUCAGAAUAUUACAUAAUUUAGUGCAGAUUAAUAUGUUCUUUUCACAAAGUUGUGUUUUAUUUUUGAUUCCUGUGUUUUUAUAACUUUAGCCAUGCACAAUUGAUUUGGUGAUCCUUUACUGCAUUGUCAGUGGAAGAAACAAGUUACUCGAGAGUAGUUAUUAUGUGAUAAACUCUCAGAAUACGGGGAUAUUCUGAAAUAGCUUUUAUGGCUCAGUUAGAGCUGAAAAAUUUGACGUGGAUGUAUGCCUCUUGCUUUUCAAUUACAAGUGGCUGGAGCCUUCAUGCACUAGACUUUAUAAGUUACAUUCUGCGUGGCAUGGUUCAAGGUUCACCAUAUGUUUCAAGUAAGAGGUGGAUGUGAAUGGUAAUGCUUGAACAGAAAAAACUAUCAGAAAAGUUGGCUGCAUGUUUUAUGAUGUAGGUGAUAGGGUAUUAUAUAUUAAUAUUAAAGCUUCACAUCAUACAGUGUAUAAUAUGCUAAAUCAGCUAUUUCAUGUUUUGUUACAUAUCUUUCUUGAUUGGAUAAUUUUUGUUGAUUUAUAUCAACAGAAGCUUGGAGAUAUUAUGGAGAUGGCUUUUGGUGGUCGUUAUGUUAUUAUGAUGAUGGCACUCUUCUCAAUAUACACAGGAUUGAUAUAUAAUGAGUUUUUUUCUGUUCCUUUUGAACUUUUUGGACGUUCUGCUUAUGACUGCCGAGAUUCUUCAUGCAGGUGUCCAAUUGCUACCUUAACUUCUAGUCACACACCCCCACCUCGAAAUUAAAAAGUAAUAACUAUUCACAAUCCUUUAACUCACUGUUCUUUUCAGGGAUGCAUCUACAGUGGGCUUGAUUAAGGUGCGUGGCACCUAUCCUUUUGGUGUUGAUCCCAAAUGGCAUGGCACACGCAGCGAGCUACCAUUCCUCAACUCUUUGAAAAUGAAAAUGUCCAUUUUACUUGGCAUAGCACAGAUGAAUCUCGGAAUAGUUUUAAGCUAUUUCAAUGCAAAGUUCUUUGGGAACGAUAUAAAUAUCUGGUAAGUUUAGAUUCCUGAAUAUGUGCUGCUGCUUGUAUUGCAUGUGUGUAUUUCAUUCACACCAUGCAGUGUUCCAAUUGUAAGUCUUUACAGAUGCAUCUGGGCUUUUAAUUGCAUGGUAGCACAAUAGAGCUCGAAUAUUUGAUGUUGUUGUCGUGAUUGAUAAAUAUGUGCUUUAUACCAUAAUAUUGGCUCGUGUUUACAUCCUUUUGCAGGUACCAGUUUGUUCCCCAGAUUAUUUUUUUAAACAGCCUGUUUGGCUACCUAUCACUUCUCAUAAUUGUGAAAUGGUGCUCCGGUUCCCAAGCUGAUCUCUAUCAUGUAAUGAUAUACAUGUUCUUGAGUCCUACUGCUGAUUUAGGUGAUAAUCAGCUAUUUUUUGGCCAGAAAUAUCUCCAGGUUUUACUUUUAUUUUGACGAAUAAGUUCUUGGGACCAGUUCAGGUAGAGAAGAACUCUGACUCAUUUCAUGUAUUCCAUUCUACACUAUCCUCAGAUUCUUUUGCUAUUGCUUGCGCUUGUUGCUGUUCCAUGGAUGUUAUUUCCAAAGCCCCUUCUUUUGAAGAAGCAGCACCAGGAAGUAUGUUCUGAAUUAAUUGCAUCGCCUCUGUUAAGUUGGUAGUUUUUACUCUGUUGUCUUCCUGUCUUGAUAUCUAUUUACUUCCAUAUCAUGCUUUCUCAGAGACACCGAGGACAAGCCUACAGACCUCUUUAUAGCACUGAGGACUCCUUUGAACUCGAGAUACAAAGUGAUUUACAUGGUCAUGAGGAGUUUGAGUUCAGUGAAGUUUUUGUCCAUCAAGUAAUCCAUACAAUAGAGUUUGUUCUUGGAGCAGUCUCUAACACAGCUUCUUAUCUACGUUUGUGGGCACUUAGGUACAUAUCUGAAGCUGUUGAAAAUUUUAUUUUAAUUAAAAUACAUAAUCACUUGCUUCUGGAGAAUCUCUUCUUUUUCCAGUAUGACAUUUGAUGUAGAUUAUGAAGUAUUUGGAAAACUCAAAUUCGGUGGGAAGUUGUUCUUUGCCCAAGCAUGAAUGAAGAAACAAUGUUUGCAAAUCCCUAACAAAUGAAUGAGCUCCCUGUUGUAUUCACCCUGGCUUUUUUUUUUAAAGGUAGUUUUGUGUUCUUAAUAAUCUUAGAACCAUGACAAGGAAAGUAUGAGAAACUUUUAGGCUGUUUGCAAUCCCAAUUAUCCUUUUUCUUUAAACCUAUGCCGAAUUCUAUUUCCUUAAGUUGGAUGUUGACAUGUUGUCUUGAAAUCAUAACUGGACUACUCAGGAAUCAUUGAUAAAUGCAAUUCUACUCUGAUCAUAUUCAUUCAAUCUACUUUAUGCUGAUCUAGUACCACAUAAUGAUUGGAGCAUUGUUGGUUUUGCAGUCUUGCACAUUCAGAACUUUCCAGUGUGUUUUAUGAUAAAGUUCUGCUUCUUGCUUGGGGGUAAGGAUCUCCGUGAUUUUUUUUUUUUUUUUAAAAAAGCUCCUAAAAAUCUUGUAGAAUCUGUUUUAUGACUCACGUGAGGUUCAUUGUGAUCAUGGCGUCAGGUUCAACAACGUCAUUAUCCUCAUCAUUGGGAUUAUUGUGUUUAUAUGUGCUACUGUUGGUGUAUUACUGCUGAUGGAAACCCUGAGUGCAUUUCUCCAUGCCCUGAGGCUUCACUGGGUAGAAUUUCAGGCAAGUUUUACGAGGGAGAUGGUUACAAGUUUUAUCCAUUCUCAUUUGCAUCACUCAGCGAGGAUGAGGAAUGAUAGGAGCAGUUUUUUUAACAUGACUGAGUUUUAGAUGAUUCAUUUGUGAGUAGACAGAUAUUAGAAGUCCCAGAGGAAUUGCUGAAAAUUUUCGGAGAUUCAAUUCUCUAAAGCACGCCCUUCCGGGUCAAUGUAGUAGUAAUUGUUUUAUGGUGAAUCCCGCAGGCUAGCGGUCAUAUUAGGUCUAUCCGUGGAAAUUGUUACUAAAUGGGCAAAGAGUUCCGGUGGCCCUCAAAUUAUUAGCCGGAUGAACUUUUGGCCCCCAAACAAUUAAAAGUAAACUUUUGGCCCCCGAUCUAUCUAAAGUACAAAAUGUUAGACCUUCUGUCAAAUUCAGCAGUUAAUACAGACGGAAUCUACGAACACGUGAGACCCGAAAUACAAAGGGCAUACGAAAUGGUGAUUCUGGGGUGCUCUUCUGAAGCGGACGCAAAAAAAGGGCAUUGGGUUGAAGGACUAUUUGAGGGUCGUACAGCCCUUGGAAGCCGAGGCUAGGGAGUGUUACUUUGAAAAUACAGGGUACAGCAGUGAUGAAUUCAUAGAGAUGUUGGUUCUUGACAGUUGUUUCAUUCUGGAAAUCUUUCGAAAGUUUGGAGGGUUGGUGCCGGUCGAUCCAGAUGAUCCGCUUACCUCGAUGUUGAUCCAGAUGUCGUGGGUGUAUGCUUACCCCGAUGACGAAGGAUCAGGGCCGUCUUUGGGCCGAUUGACUCUAAAUUUCUUCAACAAUGCACUGCAAAGGUUUGAGCUAGUUUUGGCCAGAUACAGCAGCCUCGAACUCGAACGCAAGCAUUUGCUGGACUUUCUUUGCGAAAGCUUCAACCCCUGGAACACGGCGAACCUAAACCCGAUGGGUUUCUGAACACUCGCGUAAUCGAAUGCGUCUCGCAUCUCUCGUACGCUGGAAUUGACCUUAAACCCAGCGAGGAAGAGAGCUUCUUGGCCAUAAAAUUCAGGCACGGGGGGUAAUUGAGAUGCCCAGAAUUGCUUUGGAUGAUUUCAUGAGCUCGUUUCUAUUGAAUUGUGUCGCCUACGAGCAAUGUCAGGCGGGUUGUUCCAAACACAUGACGACUUGUGCUACAUUCUUGGAUUGCCUGAUAAAUUUGUCCAAGGACGUCCAAUUUCUAUGCGAUUGGAACAUAAUCGAGAACUAUUUUGGGACAGAUGCUGAAAUUGCCAAAAAUGCCCUUCGUAUUUCGGUGUGCUUCUCACGUAGUCGUAGAUUCCGUCGGUAUUAACUGCUGAAUUUGACAAAAGGUCUAACAUUUUGUACUUUGGAUAGAUCGGGGCCAAAAAUUUACUUUUAAUUGUUUGGGGGCCAAAAGUUCAUCCGGCUAAUAGUUUGAGGGCCAUCGGGACUUUUUGCCCUUACUAAAUUGAUACUCAUGAUGCUAUGAAAGGUAUAACCACGAUUUAUGGCCCCUAGGAUUAAGUUGUCCUGACACCCGUCAUUCGCUGUUUUGUGAAUGAAAGUUCCAUUUAUUUAUCUAAGAGAAGACUUUGCUGCGGUUAAUUUCUAGGUAAAUCCGUCUUUAAGGGUCCGUUUGUUUCGGGUGAAAAUGUUUUCCAGGAAAAUAUUUUCCUAAUUUCCCGUGUUUGGUUGCACAAAAGUUAUUGAAAACAUUUUCCUAUGUAAAAUAUUUUCACUCAUCUUAUGGAAAACAACUUCCCUUCCAAACUUACUGAAGUUGUUUUCCGAAAUGCAUGCAUCGCCUGUAGUAUGUUCUAAACUUACUGAAAAUAUCUUGUAGUAUGUUCUUUUUUUUUUUUAGUGUAAACAGGAGGAUUCGAACCCAAAAUCUCUUUCUUACACUCCCUCCCCCGUACCACCCAACCCUCCCCCUAGUAUAUUCAAAAUAAAAAAAAAAAACCUCAUUCUGUUCAUCCUAUGCUAGUAAUUAAUUAUAUAUAAUAGAGACAUUCUUUUCUAGAGAAACUUUCAGCAGUGAGAGUGCAAGAUAUAUGUCACAAUAAGCAUUGCAUGUGAUUGAUAUUUGACACUAAAUGGCCAGCAAUUUGUUUAUUGCUUAAGGAGAUAUAUCUUUAUUCAUAUAUACAUUUCUCCAAGAUUUUUUAAAAUUAAACAAUAAGAUAAAUUUUUUUAUUUUGCAUGGGAAGAAGUAUGUAGUUAUAAUGUGUAGAAAGUAAAGAUAGAGAUAAAAAGAAAAUAUUUCAAAAGUUAAACAAACACCAGAAAAAUGAAGUAAGAAAAUAUUUUCAAUAAGCUAACCAAACACCUGAAAAAGAUGAAAGGGAAAUGAUUUUCAUGGAAAAUUACUUCCACGGAAAAUAUUUUCCCAAGGAAAACAUUUUACUUCCAACCAAACAGACCCUAAAGGUUGCAUAUUUGCAUAUUGUCACAACAUUGGAUAUCAAAUCUGCUGCAAAAUGUACGGACCUCUUAUCCAACCUCUCACAAAGGGAUCACAACCCACACCAUAAAAGAACUUUCUGCCCAUUUUCAGAAGCAGACUUAAAAAUAAUUCUCAAACUAAUUACGCGCGCAUGGUAGUCAACAGAAGUUACAGAACUUCAAAGUGCAUCCAUAUUGCCACGAAAAAGGAAAAGAACAAUAAUAAUUGGCACAACGGCAAUAAAAAAUUAAAACCGCUAUUCUGAUAUACGUCGAGUUCUAAUUUAAACCAUUUUAGGAAUGUUUGUUGGAGCCUCGAGGUGAUACCAUACAGACCAUCUUCUAGAAUACAUUAAUGGAAAGUAGUUCCUAUAUACACAAUACCAAAUAAGUUCAUAUUUAAGUACAGUACCAACAAAUGAAGAUCAAUGACUUGAUACUGAGUUGAUGUGUGAUAGUACCACCAAAUGAAGGUUCAUGACUUAAUACUGAGUUCAUGUGUGAACGGCAGCCACAGAUGAGACCAUAGAAUCAACCCCGCACAAAUUGCGAUCAGCCCUACAGAACUUGUAGUAGCCACUCUCUCCCCAGUUUUCACCCCACGAGUUCUUUAUGAUCCAGUAAGGCUUGUCCUUGAGCCGGAUAGGGGCGUAGCCCGCAGCACCAUACCCAACUAAAAGCACCCCGUGAUCCUGGCUCUUUGAACAAAUGUAUGGGCAUGAAACCCCUCCAAUAUAUGUCUGCAUCCAGAUUGCAUUGAUCGCAACUGCAGAUGGGAAAAAAAAAAAUAGAGGAAACAGUAUUAGCAUCUGUGUCGUCAACUCCCAACUAAUACAGAAAAUUUCACUUCUCAACUCUCUCCCAGGCAGCUUACUCUGGGGGUGUUCAAGUAUUGAAGUAGCUGAUUACCUGCAAGAGGGCCAUGCUUCACCAGAUUUGCAGCAAUCUGAUCUUCGUCGGUGGAGACAACACUGAAGUUGGACACUUUAGCAGCAAUUUUGCUCUUAUCAAAUUUACAUUUCUCAUCCCUGCCAGUGUAAGGAUAAUCUUGCUCACGUUCAACUCCACCAGAUUUCAGUAUGUACUCGAAGGCAUUGUUCAUCAAUCCGCCAUUACAACCAGAAUCACAUGAAUUAUAUUCCGCUGGAUCGCACUGCAAAAGGUGAAUGCUAAGUCAAUUAAGACAACACUACAUCAACAAGCUCAAUAUCUGCAGAUGCGCAUCAUAAUUUCCUCAUUACUACACAAUACACAUGCUAAGAAGACCGACCAACCAAUCUGGGCACAAACCAACAUCGACCCCAUGUCCAGGAACAAAAAGCAAUCUGACCAUACCCUCAAAAUGCACAAAAGCUUAAGUUCAUUUAUAUCGCGUAUCUGUCUUCAAUUGAAAAGGAAUUUUAGUUUCACAUAAGAGAUUCAGAAAUAUGCUCAUCAACAAAGGGCACCAAGGUACUAAUAAGAUUAUGCAGUAUAUACUUUAUCAAGUCAAACUAGAUUACAUCCUGUGGUCUUUAUGCGAGGCAGACAACAACAGUGAAGAUAGAGAUAAAAAUACAUAGAAUUGAGAGUUGAACGGUCACAAAAGUUCAUACUUCAAAUUAAUCUUGUCGUGAGGCAGAAACCUUCAAGCUAGCAACAUCUAUCCUUUUUCAGUUAACCAAUUUGAAACAAAACUAUCAUCCAGACCCUCCAAUUUUUGUACUCAGCAGAAAAAUUUUUUAAAUCUUGGAAAUAUGCAUAACAAAAUUACUAAUUGAUUAUCUAGCUACUGAUCAGAGAUAGGUUUCUGUCCAAUAGUUCUUUAUCCAUUAUUCACACCACAUGCAAAAGUCAACGCGACGAAAACUCAAACCUCAUGGUCACAAUCCACAAGCUGCUGCUCGCUGAGGCUGACUAGCUCUCUGGUGGCCAAAUAGUGCGCUCCUUCCAACGCUCCGGUUGUACUGAAGGACCAGCAUGAUCCGCAGGAACCCUAACAAACACCCAAACUCCGUCAAAAUCAUUGGACGAAACGUUAUAAUAGGACUCACGAGUGACUAAAAUGAAGCUAACAAUACCUGAUCUUUGACGGGGUGACGGCUCCAUGGUCACGCCAGUCAAAAUCAGCAGGAAGAUCGGUAGGGAGGAUCGGAGCCUUGUUAGCAUCGGCAGGGAGUCUGAGCCGUCGCUUGUGCUUAUUAAGUCCGAGGUGGUUACGCCGGAACUCGGACGGAGUGAGGUCAGAGAACCUAGUAACGCCGUGGACGGCGGAAGGGUCAAGGAGCUGGUGGCGCUUAGCACGGCGCAAGUUAGCCUUGAAAACCGAGAAUCGGUAGUCGUGCUCCUCCUGCGUGGAAUAAGUCUUGCCGUACUUGGUCUUGAAGAGUGAGAAAUGGUGAUCUGCGUUCAGGAGAGGAUCAGCAUCAUCGCCGUCCGAUGGUACGACCUGUCUGAUCAACGGAUCGUCUUGGAUGAUGGACGCGGCUGCAAGGUCGCCUGCCGCGGACGCAACCGCAGAGGAUAGCAGAGUGAAGCUGAGAAGAAGAGAGAAAAGAAAGAGACGAUCCAUUGGACUUGAAGAGUGCACUGUGU
Molecule: long non-coding RNA, 27780 nt
Filed under: Coffea arabica (coffee)
Lineage: Eukaryota; Viridiplantae; Streptophyta; Magnoliopsida; Gentianales; Rubiaceae
Description: long non-coding RNA (CARA_LNC006997)
Source: RNAcentral